Molecule: small nucleolar RNA, 213 nt
Organism: Phyllostomus discolor (pale spear-nosed bat)
Lineage: Eukaryota; Metazoa; Chordata; Mammalia; Chiroptera; Phyllostomidae
Product: small nucleolar RNA U3
Exons: 1
Source: RefSeq, a predicted model, not a curated record
AUUCAUUUACUGAUGGGCACAUUUCUAUAGUUCGUUACUAGAAAGGUUUCUCUGAACAUGUAGAACACCUGAAAACAGAAGGAGGAGGCUCAAUAUUCUCUCCUGAGCAUGAAGCUGGCUUUUGAUGCUGUUUUUGCAAUUGCCAAUAGCCAUUGAUGAUUGUUCUUCUCUUCCUUUGGAAGAGUAAGAGGGAGAGAAUGCAGUCUGAGUGGU